This is a non-coding RNA of Ixodes scapularis (black-legged tick), 73 nucleotides long. The record is from Rfam. Lineage: Eukaryota; Metazoa; Arthropoda; Arachnida; Ixodida; Ixodidae.
CCCUGGUUAGCUCAGCUGGUAGAGCGCUCCACUGGGAAUGGAGAGGUUCCUGGUCCGAUACCAGGACCAGGCG